AACGAACGCUGGCGGCAUGCCUAACACAUGCAAGUCGAACGCGUGGAGCGAUCCACGAGUGGCGCACGGGUGAGUAACGCGUGGGAACCUGCCCUGGAGUGUGGGAUAACCCGGCGAAAGCCGGGCUAAUACCGCAUACGACCUGAGGGUGAAAGAUUUAUCGCUCUAAGAGGGGCCCGCGUCGGAUUAGCUAGUUGGUGAGGUAAUGGCUCACCAAGGCGAUGAUCCGUAGCUGGUCUGAGAGGAUGAUCAGCCACACUGGGACUGAGACACGGCCCAGACUCCUACGGGAGGCAGCAGUGGGGAAUAUUGGACAAUGGGGGCAACCCUGAUCCAGCAAUGCCGCGUGGGCGAUGAAGGCCUUCGGGUUGUAAAGCUCUUUUGCACGCGACGAUGAUGACGGUAGCGUGAGAAGAAGCCCCGGCUAACUUCGUGCCAGCCGCCGCAGUAA
Molecule: ribosomal RNA, 451 nt
Filed under: uncultured bacterium
Lineage: Bacteria
Description: partial 16S ribosomal RNA
Rfam family: Bacterial small subunit ribosomal RNA
Source: RNAcentral